CUUAAAUAGAAAAAUAAACACCCCUAUUACUACAAGAAAAUCAGUUUCUAUAUAGUGGCUCUGCCACCUUCUGGAGUCUUUGCAUAUUUUGCAAAGACCCCCAAUGGUGACAUCUCUGCUAGAUGCGCAGUGGCCCUUGGAUGCAGUGCAGGUGAGUUAUACUUACCUGAUGCUGUCCCCUGCUUCAUCUGCCCCGAGACCACUCGAGCCUCCAUAGAUAUUUUGUUGCAAAAUAAUACAUGAUUUCCACAGCUGUCGUGAGUGACCACUGGGGGAAGAGACAAAAUUUGAUGCAGCCUCUCAUUUUGUCAGAUUUUGUCAAGAUGAGGAUAAGACAAAGUAGUCCUUACUUAGUCGUAUGAUAACUUUUGACUGUGCUACAAUUUCAGUAAAAUUCCAACAUCGUUUUAUCAGCAUUUCAUAAAGAUGAAAUCUUUUUGGCGUUGACAGAGACACUGUAAUCCCUUAAGGACCAAACUUCUGGAAUAAAAGAGAAUCAUGACAUGUCACACAUGUCAUGUGUCCUUAAGGGGUUAAAAAGACUUUGUCAUACAUAGGCAGCCACAUGUAUAUAUUGUUAGCCAUUUAAAUGAUUAACCCAUGACUGGACAGGUAUAGUAUAUUCUAAGCCUGCCUGCUUCUUACCCAACAUCCUGUUUGUUGGGUUCCAUAAUGCUUUGUUUUUCAAAGGUAAGACACAAGGGCACACAAACCUUUUGUGUUGCUACUGUUUAGGCUAGAAUGGAACUAAAUGAAAUUGUUUGAAACUUUAAACGGACCUUAAUGUUAUGCAAAAAAAAGCCCUUUUAAUGUAGUUUUAAUAUCCUUAAAAAUAAAAUGUAAUUAAG
This is a non-coding RNA of Pelobates cultripes (western spadefoot toad), 848 nucleotides long. The record is from the annotation of a GenBank genome assembly. NCBI's taxonomy places the organism in Eukaryota, Metazoa, Chordata, Amphibia, Anura, Pelobatidae.